This is a long non-coding RNA of Peromyscus maniculatus bairdii (prairie deer mouse), 1223 nucleotides long. RefSeq lists it as uncharacterized. NCBI's taxonomy places the organism in Eukaryota, Metazoa, Chordata, Mammalia, Rodentia, Cricetidae. The record is from RefSeq and is a predicted model, not a curated record.
GCGGGUAACCUUGAAGGCGCCCUCGAGUGAGUGCGUGCAUGCGCGGCGGCCGUGGCGAGCUGGCACACCCGGCUAGACGGGAGGCGGGAGCUGGGAGCAGGGAAUGGGGAGCCGGCCCCAGCGCCCUGAGAGUUGUGGGCGACCCCGACAGCCAGCUCCCGGUGCUGGCCCUCCAGCAGCCCUCCGGCAGAAUGGUGCUGGCCCCGGGGCUGCGGCCGGAGGGCGGCGCGCGAGCUGGGGCGAGCAGGCCGGUGAGCGCCUAGCUCUCCGCGGAGGUGAGCUGGUGGCCCGAGCUGCAGGCGGGCUGCAGCCACUCGGUGCCCCACGCCGCCAAAACCCGUGCUCCCCUCCUCCGCUGGCGAUGACAGCUGAGGACAGCCAGGCUCCCAGCCUGGCAAGAGGCAAAUUCUUUGGUUUCUUAGCCUUUUGGACUAUUCGCAAAAUUGCCCUAUAGUUUUGCUUUUCCUCCCUAAUUUAUUUGACAUCCAGAACCGAAAAUGCACGUUCAUUCAGAAAGACCCCAGCCUGAACAGUGAUCUUCUAGGCCCCUGGGGUGUGCAGAAGAACACCUAGGAGUCUCUCUCUCUCUUUUUUUUUCUUCCAAUCUUCAGCGAUGCCUCAAAGGAAUCACCCUUCUCUCUUGGCAAAUGAAGGUUCCUGUGAAAUAUUUUUGUCUGUGUAGAAACGUUGUGUGGACUUUAGGUGUCAGAAUGUGGUUUUGGAAUUUUCUGUGUUGUCUUUAAUUCUCACCAGACAUUUAAAAAAAAAAAAAAAACAGCUUGGUAACGGCCGGCGGCAAGUGAGCAAAGGUUAUCCCUGCCACCACAGCACCUGCAAAAGCACAAGUGGAAUUCACACAUUUUGCUUCCCAUGUUCUAAAAUGGAUUCUGAACCGUCCAGAGAAACCAGCACAUAGACGGAAGGGGACCUGAGAUGAAAGCAGAGUUUGCACAUUUUUAAAUUACACAGGUGAGCUCAUUUUCACUACUGACCCCGGAAAGGAUGCAGAGUCUCACUAUGUCACCCAGACUGGCCUGGAACUCUUGGGCUCAAGCCAUCUUCCUGCCUUAGUUCCUGAGCUGCUGGGACUACUGGCACGUGCUUCUUGAUGUGAUGCAGUGGGAAGUACACAACAUCACUUGUGAAAUAUUCUUACCAAGAAUGUAUAAUGUAAUCUUGAGAAGUCCAUCAAAUAAACACAGAUGGUGAGACAUUCUAUGAAA